This 427-nucleotide ribosomal RNA is filed under the name uncultured bacterium. RNAcentral's name for it is "bacterial SSU rRNA". It matches the Rfam family "Bacterial small subunit ribosomal RNA", at positions 355 to 774 of the family's 1533-position model. The record is from RNAcentral.
UGGGGAAUUUUGGACAAUGGGCGCAAGCCUGAUCCAGCCAUGCCGCGUGAGUGAAGAAGGCCUUCGGGUUGUAAAGCUCUUUCAGACGGAAAGAAAUCUCUCAGGAUAAUACCUUGGGAGGAUGACGGUACCGUAAGAAGAAGCACCGGCUAACUACGUGCCAGCAGCCGCGGUAAUACGAAGGGUGCAAGCGUUACUCGGAAUUACUGGGCGUAAAGCGUGCGUAGGUGGUUUGUUAAGUCUGAUGUGAAAGCCCUGGGCUCAACCUGGGAAUUGCAUUGGAUACUGGCAGGCUAGAGUACGGGAGAGGGGGAUGGAAUUCCGCGUGUAGCAGUGAAAUGCGUAGAUAUGCGGAGGAACACCGAUGGCGAAGGCAAUCCCCUGGGCCUGUACUGACGCUCAUGCACGAAAGCGUGGGGAGCAAACA